AGGUACCCUUGGGAAUAGAAUGCAAAGCCCUUUUUCCCCUGACUGCAUUUUUGAACCUGGCCAAACACUGUGACUCUACCUUUCCUUGAGGAACAUCAUUCAUACACUCUAGUUAAAAAACAAUCAUGCAAAUCUGCUAAAAGGAGAUUGCAGGUGCUCCAUCACACAAGAAAAAAUGGACAGAGUGCUGCACCCGGUGAGAGAGAACCAACCAGAGACUGAUAUUAAAUCCACACAGGAGUUUAUUACCGGCCGGGACCCGAGUGUCCAAAGAGUGACAGAAGGAGCGACCCAGAGAAGUGUUCCUCAGCUGGUGCCCACUCACUGCUGUCAAAGUUCCAAGCACAUUUCACCCAUAAAUGGUUGAACCAGGACUUCCUCAUAGCACCUGGAGGCCCAGAGGGUGCCCUCUUCACUGCCCAUGUGUCCUGUUUGCUGUUGUUCAGUCUCCAGAGGCCUGUUUCCUGCCCUAGAGGUGAACAAGUCUGCGACAGAAUUAAUGAGCGAUAUCCUACUGAUG
Molecule: long non-coding RNA, 520 nt
Organism: Heterocephalus glaber (naked mole-rat)
Lineage: Eukaryota; Metazoa; Chordata; Mammalia; Rodentia; Bathyergidae
Source: Ensembl